ACUCAACAAGAAUUAAUUAAAAAGGGUGAGUUUAAGUUGUAAAAGCGCGCUGCCAUUAUGAGCAGAUUCUUGAUCAAUUUGUUAGCCCUAAACCUGUUUUUACAGAGUUU
This 110-nucleotide small RNA is filed under the name Aquimarina mytili. Its description in RNAcentral is "Aquimarina sp. PSC33 6S-Flavo RNA". It matches the Rfam family "6S-Flavo RNA". Lineage: Bacteria; Pseudomonadati; Bacteroidota; Flavobacteriia; Flavobacteriales; Flavobacteriaceae. The record is from Rfam by way of RNAcentral.